GACGAACGCUGGCGGCGUGCUUAACACAUGCAAGUCGAACGGAAAGGCCCUGCUUUUGCGGGGUGCUCGAGUGGCGAACGGGUGAGUAACACGUGAGUAACCUGCCCUUGACUUUGGGGUAACUUCAGGAAACUGGGGCUAAUACCGGAUAGGAGCUCCUGCUGCAUGGUGGGGGUUGGAAAGUUUCGGCGGUUGGGGCUGGACUCGCGGCUUAUCCGCUUGUUGGUGGGGUAGUGGCUUACCAAGGCUUUGACGGGUAGCCGGCCUGAGAGGGGGACCGGCCACAUUGGGACUGAGAUACGGCCCAGACUCCUACGGGAGGCAGCAGUGGGGAAUAUUGCGCAAUGGGCGGAAGCCUGAUGCAGCAACGCCGCGUGCGGGAUGACGGCCUUCGGGUUGUAAACCGCUUUCGCCUGUGACGAAGCGUGAGUGACGGUAAUGGGUAAAGAAGCACCGGCUAACUACGUG
RNAcentral lists this ribosomal RNA (468 nucleotides) under uncultured bacterium. RNAcentral describes it as "partial 16S ribosomal RNA". It matches the Rfam family "Bacterial small subunit ribosomal RNA", at positions 28 to 507 of the family's 1533-position model. The record is from RNAcentral.